RNAcentral lists this ribosomal RNA (310 nucleotides) under uncultured Ehrlichia sp. RNAcentral describes it as "bacterial SSU rRNA". It matches the Rfam family "Bacterial small subunit ribosomal RNA", at positions 87 to 414 of the family's 1533-position model. Lineage: Bacteria; Pseudomonadati; Pseudomonadota; Alphaproteobacteria; Rickettsiales; Anaplasmataceae. The record is from RNAcentral.
AAUUGUUAGUGGCAGACGGGUGAGUAAUGCGUAGGAAUCUACCUAGUAGUACGGAAUAGCCAUUAGAAAUGGUGGGUAAUACUGUAUAAUCCCCGAGGGGGAAAGAUUUAUCGCUAUUAGAUGAGCCUACGUUAGAUUAGCUAGUUGGUGAGGUAAUGGCUUACCAAGGCUAUGAUCUAUAGCUGGUCUGAGAGGACGAUCAGCCACACUGGAACUGAGAUACGGUCCAGACUCCUACGGGAGGCAGCAGUGGGGAAUAUUGGACAAUGGGCGAAAGCCUGAUCCAGCUAUGCCGCGUGAGUGAAGAAGG